AACGAACGCUGGCGGCAUGCCUAACACAUGCAAGUCGAACGAGACCUUCGGGUCUAGUGGCGCACGGGUGCGUAACGCGUGGGAACCUGCCCUUAGGUUCGGAAUAACUCCCCGAAAGGGGUGCUAAUACCGGAUAAUGUCUUCGGACCAAAGAUUUAUCGCCUUUGGAUGGGCCCGCGUUGGAUUAGCUAGUUGUUAGGGUAAAAGCCUACCAAGGCGACGAUCCAUAGCUGGUCUGAGAGGAUGAUCAGCCACACUGGGACUGAGACACGGCCCAGACUCCUACGGGAGGCAGCAGUGGGGAAUAGUGGACAAUGGGCGAAAGCCUGAUCCAGCAAUGCCGCGUGAGUGAUGAAGGCCUUAGGGUUGUAAAGCUCUUUUACCCGGGAUGAUAAUGACAGUACCGGGAGAAUAAGCUCCGGCUAACUCCGUG
This 433-nucleotide ribosomal RNA is filed under the name uncultured bacterium. Its description in RNAcentral is "partial 16S ribosomal RNA". It matches the Rfam family "Bacterial small subunit ribosomal RNA", at positions 29 to 507 of the family's 1533-position model. The record is from RNAcentral.